GUGCUGGUUUCAGCAGCACGUACACUAAAAUUGGAAUGAUAUGGAGAUUAGCAUGGCCAUAUGCAAAGAGGACCAGAAAUUCAUUCACCGUUCUAUAAUUUU
Molecule: small nuclear RNA, 102 nt
Filed under: Mustela putorius furo (domestic ferret)
Lineage: Eukaryota; Metazoa; Chordata; Mammalia; Carnivora; Mustelidae
Source: RNAcentral